Molecule: ribosomal RNA, 239 nt
Filed under: uncultured bacterium
Lineage: Bacteria
Description: partial 16S ribosomal RNA
Rfam family: Bacterial small subunit ribosomal RNA
Source: RNAcentral
UGAGGAACAUGACCUUCGGCGGGGGAUAGCCGGCCCAACGGCCGGGUAAUACCGCGUACGACCACAUGGGGACAUCCCCGAGUGGUGAAAGCAGCAAUGCGCCGAUGGAGUGCCUCGCGGCCUAUCAGCUAGUUGGUGAGGUAACGGCUCACCAAGGCGACGACGGGUANCUGGUCUGAGAGGGUGACCCGGCCACACGUGGGACUGAGACACGGCCCAGACCUCCGUACGGGAGNACG